Molecule: ribosomal RNA, 485 nt
Filed under: uncultured bacterium
Lineage: Bacteria
Description: partial 16S ribosomal RNA
Rfam family: Bacterial small subunit ribosomal RNA
Source: RNAcentral
AUUGAACGCUGGCGGCAUGCCUUACACAUGCAAGUCGAACGGCAGCACGGGUGCUUGCACCUGGUGGCGAGUGGCGAACGGGUGAGUAAUACAUCGGAACAUGUCCUGUAGUGGGGGAUAGCCCGGCGAAAGCCGGAUUAAUACCGCAUACGAUCUACGGAUGAAAGCGGGGGACCUUCGGGCCUCGCGCUAUAGGGUUGGCCGAUGGCUGAUUAGCUAGUUGGUGGGGUAAAGGCCUACCAAGGCGACGAUCAGUAGCUGGUCUGAGAGGACGACCAGCCACACUGGGACUGAGACACGGCCCAGACUCCUACGGGAGGCAGCAGUGGGGAAUUUUGGACAAUGGGCGAAAGCCUGAUCCAGCAAUGCCGCGUGUGUGAAGAAGGCCUUCGGGUUGUAAAGCACUUUUGUCCGGAAAGAAAUCCUUGGCCCUAAUACGGUCGGGGGAUGACGGUACCGGAAGAAUAAGCACCGGCUAACUACGG